CCUACGGGUGGCAGCAGUGAGGAAUAUUGGUCAAUGGGCGGGAGCCUGAACCAGCCAAGCCGCGUGAGGGAAGAAGGUACAGCGUAUCGUAAACCUCUUUUGUCAGGGAACAAAGGCGGGGACUAGUCCCCGGAUGAGGGUACCUGAAGAAAAAGCAUAGGCUAACUCCGUGCCAGGAGCCGCGGUAAUACGGAGGAUGCGAGCGUUAUCCGGAGUUAUGGGGUUAAAAGGGUGCGCAGGCGGCCUGUUAAGUCAACGGUAAAAGCCCGGGGCUCAACCCCGGCGAGCCGUUGAAACUGGCGUGCUGGAGUUGGAGAGAAGUACGCGGAAUGCGCGGUGUAGCGGUGAAAUGCUUAGAUAUCGGGCAGAACCCCGAUUGCGAAGGCAGCGUACCGGCUCCACACUGACGCUGAGGCACGAAAGCGUGGGUAUCGAACAGGAUUAGAUACCCGGGUAGUA
Molecule: ribosomal RNA, 459 nt
Filed under: uncultured bacterium
Lineage: Bacteria
Description: partial 16S ribosomal RNA
Rfam family: Bacterial small subunit ribosomal RNA
Source: RNAcentral